UCCCUGGUGGCUCAGACAGUAAAGCAUCUGCCUGCAAUUCAGGAGACUCAGGUUUGAUCCCUGGGUUGGGAA
This 72-nucleotide transfer RNA is filed under the name Bos taurus (domestic cattle). It matches the Rfam family "tRNA". From Rfam's summary of the family: Transfer RNA (tRNA) molecules are approximately 80 nucleotides in length. Lineage: Eukaryota; Metazoa; Chordata; Mammalia; Artiodactyla; Bovidae. RNAcentral also lists the same sequence under 5 other names. The record is from Rfam by way of RNAcentral.